Non-coding RNA from Peromyscus maniculatus bairdii (prairie deer mouse), 1777 nucleotides. The record is from RefSeq and is a predicted model, not a curated record. NCBI's taxonomy places the organism in Eukaryota, Metazoa, Chordata, Mammalia, Rodentia, Cricetidae.
AGGAACCCUGGAAAAGGUGCGAGUUGGCCUCCCACAAGUCAUGAUGAUUCUUCCGACAAAACGUGGGAGCCCACUGAGACCCCAGCUUGUGGCUUGUUUUCAUCUUGACUCAAGAAUGAGCUCAGGACUUUGUUCAAUGGAGGUGGGAACAGUGCAGCUCCGACCCGAGUAACAAUGGAGAUGGCGAGAUCUUGCUUCUGCCCCAGGCCCAUUGGGAGGGAUCCAAUGGAGACCUCCAGUUUAGACUCUCUCUCAUCAUAAUAUUUGGCUGGGUCUCUCUGUCUGCUCCCAUCUGCUGCUGGAGGAAGCCUCUCUGAUGAUGACUGAACAAGGCACAGAUCUAUGUUCCAACAACAUCCACCUCAAGGAAAAUGGGACUCCAACUUGCUUCCUUCCCUUGAGACACGGUGUUUAUGGUGGGCUGUGAGCUUAGGCCUCUAUAAGGCUCGGAAGGCAUUGAUUAACUCUAAUGGAAGAAAAAAGAGGGGCCUGGCUGACCCCUAAGAGGGGGCCAUACUUAGGCUUGGGGGAAGAUCUUUCAUAACAACGAGACUGGUUUCAGAGACAGAUUUCCUGAGGAGUGCGGCAAGCAAAUCAAUAAGAAGGAGGAAGCUGAGGAUCCAGCUUUUUAUCAAGAGAAGGAAAAUGCCUUGAAAGGGCCCUGCUAUUCAUUACAGCAGCCUCCAGGACAUCCAUUAGACAAGCCCAAGUAUCUCUGGGAUACAGGAAGAAUUAGUUUCCUUCUAAACCUAGUAGAUAACAUCAUUGUUGGCUGGACAACUCUUUGCUUGGCCUUCACAUCAGUCUUCGGCAUUGACUUCUCUAAGGGGAUGCAACUACAUCAAGAAAUGCACGCCAGAGCUGUUGCCCAGAGUGAUGGAGUCUGCAAGCUUCUGAAAUACUUUUAUAUGGAAACUGAAAAUCAUUACUUAGCUUCAGGAUGCUAGUGCCUGCAACACAGCAAUUGCUUUCCCAACAUAGGCUAGUGUGUCAUUAAUUGAUUGUCUACACUCUGUCAACAUUGAUAGAGAUGUUAUGUUCAUGUUUUACAAAUUUUAUGGCAGUAGCAAUAAGAACAGUUUUUAGUACAUACUAUGUGCUUUUGUAUUUCUCAGUUAUCAUAAUUUUUUUUGUUCUUAAACAUCUUUGUCUACUCUUCAAAUAAUGAGCAAUAGCUCUUACUUGAACCACUCACCAUCUCUAAAAUUAAUAUUAACCUUAUUCUUAUACCAUAAUAUAGCUUUAAGAUAUUGCUUUUACUAAAAAGGUGUGUAAUUCUGUAAUGGCUCUUCUUUUAUAUAACAAGAACAUUUUGCAGCAAUUUUAUUUCAUCCAUAUUAUUUGAUGAUAGCCUGUCUAGAUAUCAUUUAAAUCAAGGCCCUUUUCUAGCCUUUUUACUAUACUGGUGAUACAGAAGCUAAGUGAGUAAAAAGCAAACUACAAAAACUAUAAGUUCAGACAGAAAAUGUUUGUUACUCUAUUCCUAUCACAGUAAGCCACAUUUCCAGUCACCUGGAAUUUGUAAGUGUGCUGAACUCCUAUUCCAUCACAUGGCCUGGUGGUCCCAUUGACAAUUAAUUGUAUCUUAUUACUUCCUUUGUGGCAAUUCAUAAAGUUAACAUUGAAUUAUAUUUACCAAAAACAUUAAAUUCAUAUUUAAAGAUAUGCAUUGAAGUCUGUGCUUCGAUGUCUCUUCCUGAGAAGUGAGUGGAGGUGGACAGAAUUGGGAUGGCUCUGAGUUGCUCUGACCCAAGUGGCAUGUGGCAUAGUGGGAAGU